GCCAUCGUAGGCCAUGGCGGCCACCUCCCAAAAAUGCAAGGGCAAUCCAUUUGGUUCUUCUAAGGAGGAAAACGGAGGUUCGAAUCCUCCCGAUGGCA
Molecule: non-coding RNA, 98 nt
Organism: Mycena polygramma
Lineage: Eukaryota; Fungi; Basidiomycota; Agaricomycetes; Agaricales; Mycenaceae
Source: the annotation of a GenBank genome assembly